GGAUUAGAUACCCUGGUAGUCCACGCCGUAAACGAUGACAACUAGAUGUUGGGAGGAUCUGCCUCUCAGUGUCGCAGCUAACGCGUUAAGUUGUCCGCCUGGGGAGUACGCCGGCAACGGUAAAACUCAAAGGAAUUGACGGGGACCCGCACAAGCGGUGGAGCAUGUGGUUUAAUUCGAUGCAACGCGAAGAACCUUACCUGGCCUUGACAUCCUCAGAACUUGUAAGAGAUUACUUGGUGCCUUCGGGAACUGAGUGACAGGUGCUGCAUGGCUGUCGUCAGCUCGUGCCG
This 293-nucleotide ribosomal RNA is filed under the name uncultured bacterium. Its description in RNAcentral is "partial 16S ribosomal RNA". It matches the Rfam family "Bacterial small subunit ribosomal RNA", at positions 775 to 1067 of the family's 1533-position model. The record is from RNAcentral.